UGGUGGAGUGAUUUGUCUGGUUAAUCCCGUUAACGAACGAGACCUUAACCUGCUAAAUAGCUACGCGUAGCUUCGGUUACGUGGGCAACUUCUUAGAGGGACGUUGCGUGUCUAACGCAAGGAAGUUCGAGGCAAUAACA
This 140-nucleotide ribosomal RNA is filed under the name uncultured eukaryote. Its description in RNAcentral is "partial 18S ribosomal RNA". It matches the Rfam family "Eukaryotic small subunit ribosomal RNA", at positions 1299 to 1458 of the family's 1831-position model. The record is from RNAcentral.